RNAcentral lists this ribosomal RNA (429 nucleotides) under Bacteroidota bacterium. Its description in RNAcentral is "Bacteroidetes bacterium partial 16S ribosomal RNA". It matches the Rfam family "Bacterial small subunit ribosomal RNA", at positions 355 to 776 of the family's 1533-position model. The record is from RNAcentral. Lineage: Bacteria; Pseudomonadati; Bacteroidota.
UAGGGAAUCUUCCGCAAUGGACGCAAGUCUGACGGAGCAACGCCGCGUGAGUGAAGAAGGAUUUCGGUUCGUAAAACUCUGUUGUUAGAGAAGAACAGCGCAUAGAGUAACUGUUAUGCGUGUGACGGUAUCUAACCAGAAAGCCACGGCUAACUACGUGCCAGCAGCCGCGGUAAUACGUAGGUGGCAAGCGUUGUCCGGAUUUAUUGGGCGUAAAGCGAGCGCAGGCGGUCAAUUAAGUCUGAUGUGAAAGCCCCCGGCUCAACCGGGGAGGGUCAUUGGAAACUGGUUGACUUGAGUGCAGAAGAGGAGAGUGGAAUUCCAUGUGUAGCGGUGAAAUGCGUAGAUAUAUGGAGGAACACCAGUGGCGAAGGCGACUCUCUGGUCUGUAACUGACGCUGAGGUUCGAAAGCGUGGGUGGCAAACAGG